RNAcentral lists this ribosomal RNA (470 nucleotides) under uncultured organism. Its description in RNAcentral is "partial 16S ribosomal RNA". It matches the Rfam family "Bacterial small subunit ribosomal RNA", at positions 335 to 797 of the family's 1533-position model. The record is from RNAcentral.
ACUCCUACGGGAGGCAGCAGUGGGGAAUUUUGGACAAUGGGCGAAAGCCUGAUCCAGCAAUGCCGCGUGAGUGAAGAAGGCCUUCGGGUUGUAAAGCUCUUUUGUCAGGGAAGAAACGGUGAAAGCUAAUAUCUUUUGCUAAUGACGGUACCUGAAGAAUAAGCACCGGCUAACUACGUGCCAGCAGCCGCGGUAAUACGUAGGGUGCAAGCGUUAAUCGGAAUUACUGGGCGUAAAGCGUGCGCAGGCGGUUUUGUAAGUCUGAUGUGAAAUCCCCGGGCUCAACCUGGGAAUUGCAUUGGAGACUGCAAGGCUAGAAUCUGGCAGAGGGGGGUAGAAUUCCACGUGUAGCAGUGAAAUGCGUAGAUAUGUGGAGGAACACCGAUGGCGAAGGCAGCCCCCUGGGUCAAGAUUGACGCUCAUGCACGAAAGCGUGGGGAGCAAACAGGAUUAGAAACCCGAGUAGUCCC